CCUACGGGUGGCAGCAGUGGGGAAUAUUGCACAAUGGGGGGAACCCUGAUGCAGCAACGCCGCGUGAGUGAAGAAGUAUUUCGGUAUGUAAAGCUCUAUCAGCAGGGAAGCAGAUGACGGUACCUGAGUAAGAAGCCCCGGCUAACUACGUGCCAGCAGCCGCGGGAAUACGUAGGGGGCAAGCGUUAUCCGGCUUUACUGGGUGGAAAGGGAGCGUAGGCGGCGAGGCAAGUCUGGAGUGAAAGCCCGGGGCUCAACCCCGGGACUGCUUUGGAAACUGCCUGGCUGGAGUGCUGGAGAGGCAAGCGGAAUGCGUAGUGUAGCGGUGAAAUGCGUAGAUAUUAGGAAGAACACCAGUGGCGAAGGCAGCUUGCUGGACAGUAACUGACGUUGAGGCUCGAAAGCGUGGGGAGCAAACAGGAUUAGAUACCCGAGUAGUC
RNAcentral lists this ribosomal RNA (440 nucleotides) under uncultured bacterium. RNAcentral's name for it is "partial 16S ribosomal RNA". It matches the Rfam family "Bacterial small subunit ribosomal RNA", at positions 338 to 795 of the family's 1533-position model. The record is from RNAcentral.